RNAcentral lists this transfer RNA (72 nucleotides) under Camelus bactrianus (Bactrian camel). It matches the Rfam family "tRNA". From Rfam's summary of the family: Transfer RNA (tRNA) molecules are approximately 80 nucleotides in length. The record is from Rfam by way of RNAcentral. RNAcentral also lists the same sequence under 2 other names. Lineage: Eukaryota; Metazoa; Chordata; Mammalia; Artiodactyla; Camelidae.
AGGGUAAUAGCUCAGUGGUAGAGCACAUACUUAGCACGCAUGAGGUCCUGGGUUCAAUCCCUGGUACCUCCA